RNAcentral lists this ribosomal RNA (534 nucleotides) under uncultured bacterium. RNAcentral describes it as "bacterial SSU rRNA". It matches the Rfam family "Bacterial small subunit ribosomal RNA", at positions 773 to 1304 of the family's 1533-position model. The record is from RNAcentral.
ACGUAAUAGAUACCCGGGUAGUCCACGCCGUAAACGAUGAGUGCUAAGUGUUAGAGGGUUUCCGCCCUUUAGUGCUGAAAGUUAAACGCAUUAAAGCACUCCGCCUGGGGAGUACGGCCGCAAGGCUGAAACUCAAAGGAAUUGACGGGGGCCCGCACAAGCGGUGGAGCAUGUGGUUUAAUUCGAAGCAACGCGAAGAACCUUACCAGGUCUUGACAUCCUCUGACAACCCUAGAGAUAGGGCUUCCCCUUCGGGGGCAGAGUGACAGGUGGUGCAUGGUUGUCGUCAGCUCGUGUCGUGAGAUGUUGGGUUAAGUCCCGCAACGAGCGCAACCCUUGAUCUUAGUUGCCAUCAUUAAGUUGGGCACUCUAAGGUGACUGCCGGUGACAAACCGGAGGAAGGUGGGGAUGACGUCAAAUCAUCAUGCCCCUUAUGACCUGGGCUACACACGUGCUACAAUGGACGGUACAAAGAGCUGCAAGACCGCGAGGUGGAGCUAAUCUCAUAAAACCGUUCUCAGUUCGGAUUGUAGG